This 1428-nucleotide ribosomal RNA is filed under the name Triticum aestivum (bread wheat). RNAcentral's name for it is "partial small subunit ribosomal RNA". The record is from RNAcentral. Lineage: Eukaryota; Viridiplantae; Streptophyta; Magnoliopsida; Poales; Poaceae.
AUGCAGUGUGAAGGCCCUACUUUUCUAUCUGAUGAAGUGCUUGAUGCAGUGGAGGAACAGGAAGCAGCCUUACAAGAGAUGCAACUGUCGGUAAAUGCAAUUUCAGGGGCGGAUCAUCCAAGGACAAUCAGGUUGCGAGCCUUAAUUGGGAAUCAAGUUGUCCUAAUUCUGUUGGAUUCGGGCAGCACUCACACCUUUAUAGAUACUGAGAUGUUAGCCCGAGUGCAGCUCACACACCAAGAGUUGAAAACACCACUGCAGGUUAAGGUGGCAAAUGGGGAAAUGCUACAGUGCAAAUCAGUGGUGCCUGAACUGCACUGGUGGGUUCAGGUCCACACUUUUAGCUACCCAAUAAAAGUACUAGACCUAGGAGGAUAUGAUAUGAUCCUAGGGAUGGAUUGGCUAGAGCAGUGGGGCGAAAUGACUUGUCAGUGGAAAGAAAAAUGGGUUAGGUUCCAAUACCAAGACCAACUCAUAACCUUGCAAGGCUUGUUACCUCCAGCCAACCCGGUGUUACAAGAAGUAUCAGUUGAGCAAGCCAUGAGAUGGCACACUGGUAAUGACAUUUGGGCAACUGCUUUGAUCACUCCUGUGAUUUCAAAAACACCAAAUGAAAUUCCGAAUGAGGUGCAAGCAGUGAUACAAGAAUUUGCGGAUGUGUUCCAAGAUCCUAAAGCAUUACCCCCUUCACGACCCCUAGAUCAUGCCAUACACCUGGUACCUGGGGCUCUUCCAGUGAAUGUAAGACCUUACAGAUACUCUCCUCUUCAAAAGGAUGAAAUUGAAAGACAAGUGGCUGGGAUGCUAGAAGCGGGGUUGAUAACCCCUAGUGUCAGUCCUUUUGCCUCUCCCGUGCUGCUGGUCAAAAAGAAAGAUGGCACAUGGAGAUUUUGUGUGGAUUACAGGAAACUUAACUCCAUCACUGUGAGGAGCAGGUUUCCUAUGCCUGUGGUGGAUGAACUAUUAGAUGAGUUGGCAGGCACUAAGUGGUUUACAAAAUUGGACCUAAGAGCAGGGUACCACCAGAUCAGAAUGGUACCCGAAGAUAAACAUAAAACAACUUUUAGGACCCAUAAUGGUCAUUACCAGUUCAAGGUCAUGGCGUUUGGACUUGCGACAGCUCCUGGUACUUUCCAGGGUAACAUGAAUUUGUACUUCUCCAAAGGCAAUAGAAAGUACGUCAUAUCCUUCAUGGAUGACAUCUUGGUGUUCAGCCAGUCUCUAGUGGACCAUCUAGCUCACCUAAGAGAAGUGCUGCAAAUUUUGAGAGAAAACCAGUUUUAUGCUAAGAUGAGCAAAUGCUCUUUUGCUCAACAAAAAUUAGAGUAUUUGGGUCAUAUUAUCUCUGAUAAAGGGGUGGCCACAGAUCCUGAGAAAACUAAAGUGAUGUUGGAGUGGCCUGUUCCUCAAAAUGUCACAGAACUCUGA